UACGGAGGAUCCGAGCGUUAUCCGGAUUUAUUGGGUUUAAAGGGUGCGUAGGCGGAAAUGUAAGUCAGUGGUGAAAUCCUGCAGCUUAACUGUAGAAUAGCCGUUGAAACUGUGUUUCUUGAGUAUAUUUGAGGUAGGCGGAAUGUGGUGUGUAGCGGUGAAAUGCAUAGAUAUACCACAGAACACCGAUUGCGAAGGCAGCUUACUAAACUGUCACUGACGCUGAUGCACGAAAGCGUGGGUAUCAAACAGGAUUAGA
Molecule: ribosomal RNA, 259 nt
Filed under: uncultured prokaryote
Description: partial 16S ribosomal RNA
Rfam family: Bacterial small subunit ribosomal RNA
Source: RNAcentral